UUCUGUAUUUCUGGGUUCUUUUGGUGAAUGUCUUAUCAAAUGUAUCAUCAAAACAUGUACUUGUUACAACUCCUGGAGGAUAUUUUCCAAAGAGGAAACGUGUUGAAAAUCGUCCUAUAAUGUAGUGGAUGAUCAUUAAAAUGCUGAUAGAAACUACAGAGGGCUGAGUUUCUGGCAAAGUCGGAUGAAGGAGCUACAUGGCAGACUAGAAAGCAGUGUAAAGCAUCUCCUGUAACAGGGAACUGAAAUGCCUCUUCUGUAAGAGAACUUUAUAGAGGCUGAAAGCUUUGGCCAUUUUAGCUGAUCUUGGAGCUGCUUGGUGGUAACUUGCAGUAGUUUACACAGACUGUUCCUUGGGCUCUUUAUUGCAUAAAUAAGUUGGUUGAAGAAGCCAUUACAGAAACUUGCAGAAAGAAGCACGGUAUCUCCUAGUGACACAGCUUUAGACAGGCCCUUUGGGGGUGGGGGCUGGAGAGAUGAUGCAGGUUGUUCCUGGAAGGAACCCAUUUCAUUCACUCCCACUGAGUUACAAAACUUGUUUUCCCAUUCGCAGAAUCAUCAGCGCAAAAGGACCAUAAAGCGUUUUAAGAGGACUUUCUUUGGCUCACUCAUUAGGAAGCUCUUUGCAGUGAACUGGCAAGUGCCUGCUGUCUGAUGGCUGGCCUCCUCCCCAAGCAGGGGAAGGAUUAGGUGGGAUUAACAAUGAAGCAAACAAUAAGCAGAGCAACAGGGAGAGAAGAAGGAUGGGAGAAAGACCCAGCAGCCUGCAGACAGGGCUGACUGCACUUGGACGUGUUACACUGCAUUUGUUAAUGGCUUUACUGAGGCAGACACAGCUGUGGUGUUUCUUCCAAUGUAUAUUCAUUUUCUGCUUGGAAAUCAUGAUGUUGGAAGAUUGCUGAAGAUUCAUGACUUUCCUUCUGCCUAGCAGUGACAUUUAAGGUGCAACAUGGUUUCUGUCCAAAUUCAUGGUUCACACAAAAUGGCACCAUCAUAAAUGUCUUGGGAACAGAUGCCCUCCCUGGCCUUCCCACUGCAUCUGCAGCCGGGACAGCAUCCAGCAAACACAUUCACCUAAACUGGGAAGCUGGGAGCUGCUCUCCAGCAACUAGAACAGAAGAAGCUUCCAGCUUCUGCUUUCUAAGGGUAUAGCUAUACAGGAGAGAGCUGCUUGUCUGGAGACAUAACAGCAGUGGGGAGUUUUCUAGCUGUCAUUGCUAGAACUGUCUGGUCCUCUUUCUUUACCUUCCUCUUACAGCACAGAACAGUGCUGCCUGGGGACACCCAGGCCAGGCAGUUACCAGCAGUCCUGCAGCCCUGCACAAGACUAAUCAGUCUUCUUCCUGGCAGCUCCUAUGCCCUGUAUCCCUGAGGAAAAACAAGGCAUUUUCCAGUCCCUGCUGAGGUAAAUCUUCCCAGCACCUGGUAAUGCUGUGUCCCAUGUACAGUGCCUGAGCUGGCGGAGCAGUCCCUCUCUCCACUGAGGUCUGUUGGAAGGGCCUGAGAGGCACAGGGAUUGGCCUUCAGCCUCUGGUGCUUUUCCUCCUCCAUCUCUCCUGGGAAGUUCACCUCCUGCAUGGUGUGAAGUGGGUACAGCACUUGUUUGGUAUGUGUUGGGGGGGCUCAGUGCAGGCUGUGUGCUGCGGAGGCACCGAUUUCAUUCCAGGACACAGUUCCUUGAAGUUGUAGGAGUCUCUGAAGGCAGAUUGCCCUUUAGACCUUGGACUGCAGACAGUUGAUAUAGGUUCCCCUGCCAAGCCGCACUGAGCAUUGCCAGUGUGUUUGUGUCGUUAGCAGAUGUGCUGUUACUCCGUUCUCCUAUGCACACACACGGCACAAGCUCUGCUCUACAGGGAGCUCAGGGACCGCUGCGUCCCUGGAGCCAUCUGACUGGAAGGGUUUCAGAGGUGGGGAGCUGUGUGCUGGUGGUACUAGGCGGUACUGAGCCUGUCCAAGUCUGUCCCUCUCAGCACAUCACCAAAUUGCAGCCUGGACUUGCUAGAGCUUCUCUUCUGGUGCCAGCAUCUCCGCCUGGCCCAGCUCCAUGCUUGUGCUAAGUGGCUUUGGAGCUGCCCCAGGGGUCUGUCACGGGCUGGAAUUAGAGUUGCAUUUGGCUGGCUGGUCUGUCUUUCCUUCCUGGAUGCUAUUGCUUUUUUUAGCUUAUCUCAGUUCUGCAUGGGUUUGUGAGUUCCUGCUGAAGUCUCUAACAAGAUUUGUAUGGUGGCUUCUUUUUCCUCCAAGCAAUCAUAAUUUGGCCAGAAAUAAAUGUCUGCAAAAAUCUU
Long non-coding RNA from Pezoporus occidentalis (night parrot), 2282 nucleotides. RefSeq lists it as uncharacterized. Lineage: Eukaryota; Metazoa; Chordata; Aves; Psittaciformes; Psittacidae. The transcript is spliced from 2 exons. The record is from RefSeq and is a predicted model, not a curated record.